GGUUCGGUUCGGUUACCCGCACGUACAGCCGGACGAACGCGUCCAUACAUGGCGCUGUAUCGAAGAACAGGUUGUUUAUACGCUCGAUUCCACGCGUUAUAGCCGACUAUUUUCUCGUACAAUCAGUUUGUAAAUGUUUACACGCGAAUAAGACGACCGAUUAGCGCUCGUACGUACACCUCGAGUAAUUUUUUUCGUCGUAAUCGCGACAAACCAAACUGCAAAGAUAACCGAGUCAAGGGCGAGAUGUCGCAUCGGAGCAAAUUCCUACUGGCCGGAUUACCGCGGAUACCUUGGGCGCAGACACGUGACGCAAUCCGCCACCGUGGCCGUGGCCGCCGCCGCCGAACGGAAAUCAGUACCGAAAAUCUAGAAAUGAACGCAAAGAAUGAUAAAAAUUUACGUGGUCGAUACACGAAUACGUGACCAUCGAGUGAAGACAAUAUCGGAGAACAGAAAUUUGCAGCGCAACAGAACGUGUAAGAAAACUGUAUCAGCUCACCGGAUGAAACCCACGAGCCAACUUUUCAUAAACCAAAGAAGGCAAAGACGCUGACGGCGAAACGAUAACAUCGAUAUACGACAACCUAUAAAAUUGAUUUUGAAAUUUGAAAAAUUUUUAUGUGCUGUACUUAAAAACAUUUUAUCAACAUCGAAAAGGAUUCCAGAGGAGAAAAAAAACAACCGUCGCGAAUUUAUACGAUUAAACGGCUCUUAGUAUUUAUUUCUUUAAAAUACCAGUACAGAUCUGGUAGAGAAAGUAGUUAUGACAUAAGGGAUACAGGAAAGAGGACUCGACCACACAAAAACUCCGACCAUUAAAAUAAAACUAAACAAAAAACUUUCAGCUUUUAACUGCAAGUUACAUUUUGAUGAUCUUAUUUAUGGCUCACAAACAAGUUAGCCCGUAUAAUCGGAGACUUGUACUACACGAGUUCAGACUCCUGUACACCAAACUACGAGUAUAAGGAGUCGUCGACUGCUUAUUUUUGUGGUGCAAACCACCGUGAAAGUUUUUCACCGCAAGUGACAUUUUGUUUGCUUUGAAAAGAGGCCAAGCAUAAGCAACACAAGAUGUAUCCUUCCUUCUUAAAAUGUAAUUACAAGUAGCCUUGGAAAAGUUCAAUUUUACGAGCUGCGUUUAACUAGGUCGAUAAGCAGGAAUCGUAUUCUUAUCAACUUUUACUCUACUCGCAUUACAUCUUGGUAAUUAGAAUUAGCGGUUUGACCACCAUUACCAGCGUAAAGUUCACAACUCCGAAACAAAAUUCAGCUGAAAAGCUUCAUACUCUAUACAAUCAGCAACAGAUGGAAUAAUAUGCGCUGCAUUUGUCUACUGCGCAACUGAUUCGCGCAGGUUGCACGGCAGUUGCGUUUAGACCAGUAGAUGAGGAAGACGUGUUUUGCAGGGUUCCCGGUACAAUGUUUUGAUUUUGAUGAAUUUUAGCAAAAAAGGGGAACAAAAUCAGGGUUAUGGGGCAUGGGGCACAACAAUGCGUCAAAAUGAUGAAUUUGUCAGCUAAGCAUGAAAAGUUUUCUGAUUUGGAAGAAUAAAAUUGAAAAUUUUGGAGAUUGUGAUGACAAAUAUUGGAUUUCUUUGCAUUGAUGAAGCUGAAAGUGAUACUUUUUAAGCACAAAAAACAUUUUCAUUGGGACUUGGUAACUUUUCAUCGAUGAUCAGUCACUUUCAAUGACUUUUCACUAAAUUUCUGCAUGUUGACAAAUCAGAGUCUGGCACUGGAAAAUGGAAAUCUUGUAGAAAUCUUGAAUUCUCAGUGAAUAGGAAUUUCAUGGUUUGAUUAACAUACCUAGACUGAUUUGAGUCAAAUGAAACAGUUUGGGUUUUAAAUGAUACAUUUAUACCCCAUGAGGUUUUCAAGGCAUUGAAAAUUCACUAACAAAAGGUGACCAAUUAAUUAAGUGAAUCAGCGUCGCCCAGGAAGGUUAUAAAAAUAUUUGAAUUGAUGACAGGUCAAUUAUGAAUAUAAAGUUCAGAACUGAUUUUAGGUCACUUGACAAAGAUUCAGAAAGGGGACAAAUUAGCCUCUUGGAUACAAAAUUUCACACUUCAGAGCUUUAAUUUCUGACAAUUUGAUCAAACACUACGCUGGUAAUACUGGUCAAAUGCUCCACAAAUGUUCGAAAUGUCCCUCAAACUAGACAAAUUUUUCCAAACGACCAAGCUUCCACCAUUCAAUUGACAAAAUUUUCCACGAAAGUCAACCCAUCGCUCUCCAACCACAUCAACAUGACAAUGAAGCAAAAAUUGAAACAUCCCUUAAUGCAUUAGGUCUAUCAAACCAAUAAUUAACACUCCAUCAUUGUCACAUUAUCUCAUUACGAGCAAAAAACCGAAAAUACAUUCCGAACUCGAACAAUUCUACGAAUUCCUUCAACAUCUCCUACGCCUUGUAGUCUUCCUGCUUAAUUAAAAAUAAUCAAUAGCUCGGAAACUGGUCAACGUUAAUUCGCUUCAAUAAAGCUAUCCAAUAAAAACGUUUAAAUCGAUAAUACACAUGUUCACAACAUAGAUCCAGAUGGUAGAACAGGCGAAAUAUCGCCAACUGCACAACAAACAUCAACAUUACACAAGCUAGGAAAUUUAUACAGCCGUAAAUAUGUUCGAAAGUCUAAUUAAAUAAGCCCACAGAUCGUAUAAACCGGCAAUUACGUGAUUGUUAUUUGUGUUUGUCGAGAUGAGCAGAAUUUUUUUUUUUUCAUUCGUUAUUAUAAUCUCGAGUAAAAAAUUAAUCGUAGAAAAAUUUAAUGAUAAUUCGAAUUAUUGAUUAAGUAUCUACAGACGUCUCCUUGAAACUUACAGCUUUGUCGCCAUUCGAUUUGAAUAAUUUUAUUUAAUGUUUAAAAUGACCAUCGUUUGAAAGUAUACAUAUUUCGUAAGUGCAAAUGUUAAAGAAAAAACGACAAUUUCAAUAAAAUUAUGGAAACUUG
Molecule: long non-coding RNA, 2949 nt
Organism: Planococcus citri (citrus mealybug)
Lineage: Eukaryota; Metazoa; Arthropoda; Insecta; Hemiptera; Pseudococcidae
Exons: 3
Source: RefSeq, a predicted model, not a curated record